Molecule: ribosomal RNA, 141 nt
Filed under: Selenia dentaria
Lineage: Eukaryota; Metazoa; Arthropoda; Insecta; Lepidoptera; Geometridae
Description: partial large subunit ribosomal RNA
Source: RNAcentral
AAUUAAGUUUAUUAAUUUAUUAUUUAUAAAAAAAAUUUUUAAAAGUUUAAUUAUUUUAUUGGGGUGAUAAAAAAAUAAAAAAAACUUUUUAAUUAUUUAACAUAAAUAAGUGAAUUAAUGAUCCAUUAUUAUUGAUUAAAA